GCCCCAGUAGCUCAGUGGAUAGAGCACGGCUCUCCUAAAGCCGGUGCCGCAGGUUCGAUUCCUGCCUGGGGCA
Molecule: transfer RNA, 73 nt
Filed under: Corynebacterium sp.
Lineage: Bacteria; Bacillati; Actinomycetota; Actinomycetes; Mycobacteriales; Corynebacteriaceae
Description: tRNA-Arg
Rfam family: tRNA
About the family: Transfer RNA (tRNA) molecules are approximately 80 nucleotides in length. Their secondary structure includes four short double-helical elements and three loops (D, anti-codon, and T loops).
Source: RNAcentral